Molecule: unclassified non-coding RNA, 337 nt
Filed under: soil metagenome
Description: partial contains 5.8S ribosomal RNA, internal transcribed spacer 2, and large subunit ribosomal RNA
Rfam family: 5.8S ribosomal RNA (bases 1-120)
Source: RNAcentral
GAUGAAGAACGCAGCAAAAUGCGAUACGUAAUGUGAAUUGCAGAAUUCAGUGAAUCAUCGAAUCUUUGAACGCACAUUGCGCCCCUUGGUAUUCCAUGGGGCAUGCCUGUUCGAGCGUCAUUUGUACCUUCAAGCUCUGCUUGGUGUUGGGUGUUUGUCUCGCCUCUGCGUGUAGACUCGCCUUAAAACAAUUGGCAGCCGGCGUAUUGAUUUCGGAGCGCAGUACAUCUCGCGCUUUGCACUCAUAACGACGACGUCCAAAAGUACAUUUUUACACUCUUGACCUCGGAUCAGGUAGGGAUACCCGCUGAACUUAAGCAUAUCAAUAAGCGGAGGA